Molecule: ribosomal RNA, 468 nt
Filed under: uncultured bacterium
Lineage: Bacteria
Description: partial 16S ribosomal RNA
Rfam family: Bacterial small subunit ribosomal RNA
Source: RNAcentral
GACGAACGCUGGCGGCGUGCUUAACACAUGCAAGUCGAACGGAAAGGCCCUGCUUUUGUGGGGUGCUCGAGUGGCGAACGGGUGAGUAACACGUGAGUAACCUGCCCUUGACUUUGGGAUAACUUCAGGAAACUGGGGCUAAUACCGGAUAGGAGCUCCUGCUGCAUGGUGGGGGUUGGAAAGUUUCGGCGGUUGGGGCUGGACUCGCGGCUUAUCAGCUUGUUGGUGGGGUAGUGGCUUACCAAGGCUUUGACGGGUAGCCGGCCUGAGAGGUUGACCGGCCACAUUGGGACUGAGGUACGGCCCAGACUCCUACGGGAGGCAGCAGUGGGGAAUAUUGCACAAUGGGCGGAAGCCUGAUGCAGCAACGCCGCGUGCGGGAUGACGGCCUUCGGGUUGUAAACCGCUUUCGCCUGUGACGAAGCGUGAGUGACGGUAAUGGGUAAAGAAGCACCGGCUAACUACGUG